This 253-nucleotide ribosomal RNA is filed under the name uncultured bacterium. Its description in RNAcentral is "partial 16S ribosomal RNA". It matches the Rfam family "Bacterial small subunit ribosomal RNA", at positions 524 to 776 of the family's 1533-position model. The record is from RNAcentral.
UACGUAGGUGGCGAGCGUUGUCCGGAUUUACUGGGCGUAAAGAGCGCGCAGGCGGCUGUGCAAGUCCGAUGUGAAAGCUUCCGGCUUAACUGGAAAAUUGCAUCGGAAACUGCUCGGCUUGAAGGUGGGAGAGGGUAGCGGAAUUCCCGGUGUAGUGGUGAAAUGCGUAGAUAUCGGGAGGAACACCAGUGGCGAAGGCGGCUACCUGGCCCACUCUUGACGCUGAGGCGCGAAAGCUAGGGGAGCAAACGGG